UGGCUUCGAUCCGAUUCGAGUUGGUGGCAUU
RNAcentral lists this non-coding RNA (31 nucleotides) under Homo sapiens (human). Lineage: Eukaryota; Metazoa; Chordata; Mammalia; Primates; Hominidae. The record is from RNAcentral.